Molecule: long non-coding RNA, 261 nt
Filed under: Ananas comosus (pineapple)
Lineage: Eukaryota; Viridiplantae; Streptophyta; Magnoliopsida; Poales; Bromeliaceae
Description: long non-coding RNA (ACOM_LNC039955)
Source: RNAcentral
CCCACUUCUCAUGGAAGUUACGCCCCACUUCUCAUCCGUUCCCGCCUAAACGCUCUUGACCUUUAGGUGCUUUAUUGCCGACUCCUGGUGUACCACUUGUCCUUAUUUCUUUGGCUCACACGUGGGUUAGGUCGGCGUGUUAAUUUUUUGGUAUCAACAUUGCCCCCCCAAUAGUCUUUCGAAUGAACGUUCGAAUGACUAUUGGUGCAAAAUCAACGGCUCAAUGACACAGCCGAGACCCGAGCUUAAUUUCGCUAGCCU